AAGCAUAUGAGAUUAUCGUACUAUUGUCGCCCCAUUUUUUUGCUACAACUAUGUGGAGCCUCAAUAUCCAAAUGUUGUAGAAAAACAGUUCGAGAAACUUGAUGAUAUUAACUUGACCGAUGUUGGAUCUGAUUUGGGAGUGAUUAUUUCAAAGGGAAAUAAAGGCAAUAGUCCCAUCAAUUUUAAAGCACAUUUUAAAAAAGAGCUGAGACAAUGGGAGGAUAUCGAUAGGCGGUUUGCACAAAACUUCCAGACUAUUGAAGCAUCCACUUCCGAGACGGCAGGUGAUAUUGAAGCAUCCACUUCCGAGACGGCAAGUGAUCACCAAUCACCCAAUAUUGAGAAUAGCACUAGUGGAGGUGAUAUUGAAGCAUCCACUUCCGAGACGGCAAGUGAUCACCAAUCACCCAAUAUUGAGAAUAGCACUAGUGGAGGUGAUAUUGAAGCAUCCACUUCCGAGACGGCAAGUGAUCACCAAUCACCCAAUAUUGAGAAUAGCACUAGUGGAG
Molecule: long non-coding RNA, 509 nt
Organism: Lathyrus oleraceus (garden pea)
Lineage: Eukaryota; Viridiplantae; Streptophyta; Magnoliopsida; Fabales; Fabaceae
Exons: 4
Source: RefSeq, a predicted model, not a curated record